CCCCGGAUCAGUUCAACAAGCAUAAAACUAUGCUAGUGAAGAAACUGAGGAGGAUAGUUGGUCUGUAGUGGGGUGCGCGAGCACAGAGCCUACAAACACACUAGCUAUCCAAUCACCACUCAUACCCGAAUGUUCAUUUGCCCCGCUAACAUCAAUCUUUCCAACCACUCUUGAGAUGUAAUCAAAAAAGCAACUGGAAGACGGAUG
Molecule: long non-coding RNA, 207 nt
Filed under: Brassica rapa (field mustard)
Lineage: Eukaryota; Viridiplantae; Streptophyta; Magnoliopsida; Brassicales; Brassicaceae
Description: long non-coding RNA (BRAP_LNC008561)
Source: RNAcentral